CCAUGGGAUCAACGUCUAACGGACAGAAGAGAAGAAAUAACUCACGCAAUUCUCACUUAUCGGCAAUCGCGCUACCAACCACUGAUCUCUCAUCAGCACACACACACAUAUGCGCGACAGAGAAGCGAACGACAUCACCAUCCCACGCGCAGUGCCAGCCAGACCGCAGAGCGGACUGCACACAAACCCAGUGCGACAAAACUAAGUCCGCGUUAGAAGUGCACAGUUUGGUGAAAUUAGAGGCAACGGAUUUGGCCUGAUUUCAAUUAAGAAACAUUCGUGAACCUCGUCGUGUUACAGCACUGACAAUACGUUUGCACGGCUGCUCUGGCGGCAUAAUUAAAUCUGGAGAUAAGGAAGAUCCCAGCACGUAAAACGCUCGCCCGAGACCGUCGUACAGGGAACGUCGUGGAAAGCGAAACACCCUCUCGAAGCGGGCUAUCGCAGCAAAUCAGCAAGGUGAGGUGAAAUUGAGAUUUGUGGGUACAGUAAUCGCAAUUUGUGCAUCAUUCCACAGCAUCUCUGCUUUUCGGUAACGGUGGAGAAGUGAAUCGCCCAGAAAGAUCGUUCAACCGGACAAUAGAAGACCCCGCUAAGGGGUCUUUUUGUUUUAUACAUUCUCGCUUCUCAUUACCGUACCGUGAACGGGUGUUGCUUUGAGGCGCAAGCCUGCCGUGGUGCGUGGAUUGGUGAGUCAAAAACAACAACCGAUUAUCAGCGUGUGUUCGUGGUGUCAGAACGAUUGUGAGCGGUGAUCCGCGUUGGGACGGACGGACGGCAUAGCAUCGCAGUGAAAGCCGAUGGACACCAAGAAGUGAGACAUCGGAAGUGUGGUGUUUGCCUCGAUGCGGCUAUCGAGUGAUCGUCGGUGGGUGGUCACUGCGUCCAGAGUCUGCCUGGUGGCGGAACCAAACAACAUGAACGGCUCAGUGGCAAGCGGUGUGUCGUUGGCUCCGCGGAGCGGUACCGUGAGUACCUACUAUUAGUUUAAGAAAACGAUUGUAUGGGCCUCGAGCCAUAGAGUAGAGGAUAGGUCUUGA
Armigeres subalbatus is the source of this 1040-nucleotide long non-coding RNA. RefSeq lists it as uncharacterized. NCBI's taxonomy places the organism in Eukaryota, Metazoa, Arthropoda, Insecta, Diptera, Culicidae. The transcript has 3 exons. The record is from RefSeq and is a predicted model, not a curated record.